CUUCUGACUCUAUAGUGGACCUUCAGAGUCUUAUUUGGAUUCAGUUGGAUUGGAUGCCCCUCUGUAUACUGAUCUUGACCCUUGAAUCCUCAGAAAUAUUAUAUCCUAAUGAAAAUGUGUGUACUUAUCGCAUACAUUCAAUUAUUUAGAAAUUUCAGGGACAUAUACACUAUCAUAAAACAAUCAAUGUCAAACUUCACCAUUACAAUGAAC
Molecule: non-coding RNA, 213 nt
Organism: Pelobates cultripes (western spadefoot toad)
Lineage: Eukaryota; Metazoa; Chordata; Amphibia; Anura; Pelobatidae
Source: the annotation of a GenBank genome assembly